UUAGCAUAUCAAUAAGCGGAGGAAAAGAAACUAACAAGGAUUCCCCCAGUAACGGCGAGCGAAGUGGGAAGAGCUCGAGCCUUGAAUCUCUGGCAGGUGUUGCCAGCGAGUUGUGGCCUGUAGAGGGUCGCUUUGUCCAGCGUUUGCGGCGUCGAGGUUGACCUGGAAGGGCACGUCGUAGAGGGUGAGAGCCCCGUGCGCGGCCUCGCGGACCUGGGCAACGGUGGCCGUCGAAGAGUCGGGUUGUUUGGGAAUGCAGCCCAAAUGCGGUGGUAAACUCCACCUAAAGCUAAAUACCGGCGCGAGACCGAUAGCGAACAAGUACCAUGAGGGAAAGGUGAAAAGCACUUUGAAAAGAGAGUCAAAGAGACCGCGAAACCGUUGGGAGGGAAACGAACGUGGCCGUGAAGACUCCCUUCGGGUUCAGGGAGCUCGGGUGUGGGGCGUUGCGAGGCGAGAGACCCAAUCGGGCUCCGUCGCUGCAAGUCCCUCCGGGCUUCCGCAUUCCCGUCUGGAGUCCGCCAACGGCGGGCGUUCGCGGUCGAAGAGGGCUGGAGGGAGGUGCCUCCUCGUCGUUCGCGGCGAGGAGAACGUACAGCCUCCGGUCCGGCGGGACCGCGAGCGGCCGAGGUGAGUUGCGACCUUUCGCACGGCGUAGCGCAGGCUCCGCAGGGGCCGGGUCGCUGCUGCUCUUGCGUGCUCCGCGUCGAGCCACUGCCCGCAGUGACCGGCGACGGCCAGCGCUCUUGGGCGGCAGGCGGACCACGAUUUGCGCUUCGGUCGUUGGCGUGCGUACGGCUCCCUCCGACCCGUCUU
RNAcentral lists this ribosomal RNA (816 nucleotides) under Raspailia ramosa. RNAcentral's name for it is "eukaryotic LSU rRNA". It matches the Rfam family "Eukaryotic large subunit ribosomal RNA", at positions 35 to 655 of the family's 3401-position model. Lineage: Eukaryota; Metazoa; Porifera; Demospongiae; Axinellida; Raspailiidae. The record is from RNAcentral.